RNAcentral lists this ribosomal RNA (253 nucleotides) under uncultured bacterium. RNAcentral's name for it is "partial 16S ribosomal RNA". It matches the Rfam family "Bacterial small subunit ribosomal RNA", at positions 524 to 776 of the family's 1533-position model. The record is from RNAcentral.
UACAGAGGGGGCAAGCGUUGUUCGGAAUUACUGGGCGUAAAGGGCGCGUAGGCGGCCUUCUAAGUCGAACGUGAAAUCCCCGGGCUCAACCCGGGAACUGCGUCCGAUACUGGAAGGCUUGAAUCCGGGAGAGGGAUGCGGAAUUCCCGGUGUAGCGGUGAAAUGCGCAGAUAUCGGGAGGAACACCGGUGGCGAAGGCGGUUCUCUGGGCCUGUACUGACGCUGAGGAGCGAAAGCGUGGGGAGCGAACAGG